GAUGAACGCUGGCGGCGUGCCUAAUACAUGCAAGACGAGCGAACAGACGAGGAGCUUGCUCCUCUGACGUUAGCGGCGGACGGGUGAGUAACACGUGGAUAACCUACCUAUAAGACUGGGAUAACUUCGGGAAACCGGAGCUAAUACCGGAUAAUAUAUUGAACCGCAUGGUUCAAUAGUGAAAGACGGUUUUGCUGUCACUUAUAGAUGGAUCCGCGCCGCAUUAGCUAGUUGGUAAGGUAACGGCUUACCAAGGCAACGAUGCGUAGCCGACCUGGAAGGGACGUCGACCACCCCUGAACUGGAGAACGGUCCAGACUCCUACGGGAGGCAGCAGUAGGGAAUCUUCCGCAAUUGGCGGAAGCCUUACGGCACCCCUCCGCGUUGGUGAAGAAGGUCUUCCGAUCUUAAAACUCUGUUAUUAGGGAAAAACAACUGUGUAAGUAACUCUGCACGUCUUGACGGUAACUGGUCAGAAAGGCACGGCCAACUACCUG
RNAcentral lists this ribosomal RNA (497 nucleotides) under uncultured bacterium. Its description in RNAcentral is "partial 16S ribosomal RNA". It matches the Rfam family "Bacterial small subunit ribosomal RNA", at positions 28 to 507 of the family's 1533-position model. The record is from RNAcentral.